ACCUAGUCUUCGAUGGAUAGGGUUCUGAGAGGAAGGUCCCCCACAUUGGAACUGAGACACGGUCCAAACUCCUACGGGAGGCAGCAGUGAGGAAUAUUGGUCAAUGGGCGAGAGCCUGAACCAGCCAAGUAGCGUGAAGGAUGACUGCCCUAUGGGUUGUAAACUUCUUUUAUAAAGGAAUAAAGUCGGGUAUGGAUACCCGUCUGCAUGUACUUUAUGAAUAAGGAUCGGCUAACUCCGUGCCAGCAGCCGCGGUAAUACGGAGGAUCCGAGCGUUAUCCGGAUUUAUUGGGUUUAAAGGGAGCGUAGAUGGAUGUUUAAGUCAGUUGUGAAAGUUUGCGGCUCAACCGUAAAAUUGCAGUUGAUACUGGAUAUCUUGAGUGCAGUUGAGGCAGGCGGAAUUCGUGGUGUAGCGGUGAAAUGCUUAGAUAUCACGAAGAACUCCGAUUGCGAAGGCAGCCUGCUAAGCUGCAACUGACAUUGAGGCUCGAAAGUGUGGGUAUCAAACAGGAUUAGAUACCCUGGUAGUCCACACGGUAAACGAUGAAUACUCGCUGUUUGCGAUAUACUGCAAGCGGCCAAGCGAAAGCGUUAAGUAUUCCACCUGGGGAGUACGCCGGCAACGGUGAAACUCAAAGGAAUUGACGGGGGCCCGCACAAGCGGAGGAACAUGUGGUUUAAUUCGAUGAUACGCGAGGAACCUUACCCGGGCUUAAAUUGCAGAUGAAUUACGGUGAAAGCCGUAAGCCGCAAGGCAUCUGUGAAGGUGCUGCAUGGUUGUCGUCAGCUCGUGCCGUGAGGUGUCGGCUUUAGUGCCAUAACGAGCGCAACCCUUGUUGUCAGUUACUAACAGGAUUUGCUGAGGACUCUGACAAGACUGCCAUCG
Molecule: ribosomal RNA, 886 nt
Filed under: uncultured bacterium
Lineage: Bacteria
Description: bacterial SSU rRNA
Rfam family: Bacterial small subunit ribosomal RNA
Source: RNAcentral